CUAAUAUAUUGUGAACACAAUAGACAGUGUGGGCUCUGUAAGAUGAAUGUUUUUCUGCAUGCAAGCUGCAACUAAAAGGGCUAUUUUUCCCUUUCAUUAAUCUAGAAUAAAUAAUGGUUAUAAUAUUACAUAACUCUUGCCUUAUCUCUGGCAGUUUCUUCGUGCUGAAAUAGGAGAUUGCUGCAGUAUGCAGCACAGCUUCUCAGUGUGCUCUGUAUGAGAGACAGAAAGGGAGUCAUUCAUGCUGGAAAAUAUCUGGCAAAAUUUCAAAGUUGCUUCCCCUUUAAUAAUUCUUAAACAUGGCUAUGAUGUGUUCCUGAAAUUUUAAAUACAGUUAGAUGUACAUUUCUGUUCACUGUUAGUGAAUUAUCCUCCCACCCCACCCCCCUCCCCCCCCCCCCCCCCCCCCCCCCCCCCCCCCCCCGUAUAGCUUCCGGUGGUUCAAGACUAGUGUGAUUCUAAACGGAAGUACAGCAAAAUCUAGUUAUCAUUUCUGGAAUCUACAAAAUCCUUAGGCUGAGCAGACUUUUGUGACACAUGACUUAUGAAGCGCAAUGCAAUACACAGAACAGGAGCAACUUACCUCUGAUAGACCUGACAUGACAGGCAAGAGAGAGAAGUUUGAGCAGAAGUUUGAGCAGCCAACAGCCACUUCCAUUUUUCUAGGACCCUCCCUAGCAAAGCAAUGUGGAGAUAAGCAGUGUAUUUUGUCAUUGAUUCCAGAGUAUCUUCUGGUUUUGAAACUGAAGAUAAGCCUUCAAAGUUGAGUUUCCUAUUGCAAAUGGACUUUAUGCUCAGCAACCACUGGGUUACAUUUUCUUUGCCUCACCCUUCAAGGCUUGUCACACCUGAAUUGUGGAAUUAUGCAGGCCAGCUGGCAGCCCAGUCCAACACAAUGUGUGUGCCAUGCAAAGUGUUUGUUGUAACAAACCUCUGAGGUUUUGAAGGAUCCUCUUCAAGGAAUGAAGAACUGCAAAUCUUCAUAUCCCUGCCUUCCUCCAAGGAACACCCUGCUCCUUCCCUAAGAGUAGGUGAAGUGUCUCAGGUCAGGGAAGCAGUGGAAGCAUUGCAGCAAAACUGCUCAUCACCCACCGCCACUUCCUUCAGCUCUCAAAAGUGCUGCUGACUUCUCCUGAGAUGCCUGGCUGUAACAGCUGAAGGCGUAUCUCAGCCCAAGGCAGCAGCACCUCUAUGACAACAGGUAGCUUUUAGCUCCAGAUACAGCUUCUUCAGUGUUUGGGAAAGUAAAGCAGGAACUUAAUAAGGGAGCUCACAAAUGGCAUCUUUUUGUGACGGUCCAAGCCAAAAUUCUGUCUAGCAAAGCCACUGAUGUCUUUAUGUGCUUAAUAAAGUCUGUUUUAGAUCCAGUUUCUGUAACUCAAACCAUCUCCAAUUAAUCUAAACAAAUAAUCCCAGGCACAGAUCUAACUAGCUGAUUUCUGCUAUUCUUCAACACUAAUGUUCAGACACACUACUGAGAGUGAUGGGUCAACAGGAACAACAGGAAGCAACUGUGCUUUAAAAUUCCUUCUCCUGAUACCACAGGGACAAUAUAAUUUUGUUCCUCCAAAAAAAAAAAAAAAAAAAAAAAAAGAAAAUUUGUAUAUAUUAAUUCUACAGAAAUGUUCUUGUGCCUACAUAAAACCUGG
This 1649-nucleotide long non-coding RNA is filed under the name Cairina moschata (Muscovy duck). RNAcentral describes it as "domestica (muscovy Duck (domestic type)) lncRNA (ENSCMMG00000001507.1)". The record is from RNAcentral. Lineage: Eukaryota; Metazoa; Chordata; Aves; Anseriformes; Anatidae.